This 24-nucleotide non-coding RNA is filed under the name Arabidopsis thaliana (thale cress). Lineage: Eukaryota; Viridiplantae; Streptophyta; Magnoliopsida; Brassicales; Brassicaceae. The record is from RNAcentral.
GGCAAGACAGAUUUGGAGGGACGG